AAGUCGUAACAAGGUUUCCGUAGGUGAACCUGCGGAAGGAUCAUUAAAGUUUGCUUAAUUGCAUUACACAUGUUUUUUUAGAGAACUUGCUUGCAAGAACACUAAUAAUUUAGUUUAGUCAAACGAUAAAAAUAUCAAAACUUUCAACAACGGAUCUCUUGGUUCUC
This 167-nucleotide unclassified non-coding RNA is filed under the name Fermentozyma sake. Its description in RNAcentral is "Candida sake partial internal transcribed spacer region". The stretch from base 1 to 46 matches the Rfam family "Eukaryotic small subunit ribosomal RNA", at positions 1786 to 1831 of the family's 1831-position model. Lineage: Eukaryota; Fungi; Ascomycota; Pichiomycetes; Serinales; Debaryomycetaceae. The record is from RNAcentral.